AGAGUUUGAUCCUGGCUCAGAGCGAACGCUGGCGGCAGGCCUAACACAUGCAAGUCGAGCGCCCCGCAAGGGGAGCGGCAGACGGGAGAGUAACACGUGGGAACGUACCCUUUGGUUCGGAACAACCCAGGGAAACUUGGGCUAAUACCGAAUAAGCCCUUACGGGGAAAGAUUUAUCGCCGAAGGAUCGGCCCGCGUCUGAUUAGCUAGUUGGUGAGGUAACGGCUCACCAAGGCGACGAUCAGUAGCUGGUCUGAGAGGAUGAUCAGCCUCACUGGGACUGAGACACGGCCCAGACUCCUACGGGAGGCAGCAGUGGGGAAUAUUGGACAAUGGGCGCAAGCCUGAUCCAGCCAUGCCGCGUGGGUGAUGAAGGCCCUAGGGUUGUAAAGCCCUUUCGGCGGGGAAGAUAAUGACGGUACCCGCAGAAGAAGCCCCGGCUAACUACGUGCCAGCAGCCGCGGUA
Molecule: ribosomal RNA, 466 nt
Filed under: uncultured Pseudomonadota bacterium
Lineage: Bacteria; Pseudomonadati; Pseudomonadota
Description: bacterial SSU rRNA
Rfam family: Bacterial small subunit ribosomal RNA
Source: RNAcentral